UGUAAACUAAGGGGGUGGGUUUUUUUCAGUGUAUUACAUAAUGGAGACUUGGGUUACCAAAAACAGAAAAUAUUGACCAUGUUGAGGCAGUACGUGAGCUGUCUUGGUCAGCACCCUGACCCAGGUGUAUCCAUCAACACGGGCACGUUAUAUCUAAAUGAAGAUAUGCAUUCAAGAAUGGUGACUGAAGCUCAUCUUUGUAAACACCUAAAUGCCUAGAAUGGACUCCAAAACAGAUUCUUAAAGUUUAACCAGUAUAAUCUUGAAUAUGGACAAAAAGUAUACACUUGGAACACACACAAAAACAGAUGAGUCCAUGCCAAGCUAAAGAUUAAUGCAGAUGGCAAAAGAGAACUGGAGAAAAAUGAAUUGAUGUUAACAUACUCUACAUUAAAUUUGGUUUAAAUCUAAA
Saccostrea cuccullata (small rock oyster) is the source of this 412-nucleotide long non-coding RNA. RefSeq lists it as uncharacterized. The transcript has 4 exons. The record is from RefSeq and is a predicted model, not a curated record. NCBI's taxonomy places the organism in Eukaryota, Metazoa, Mollusca, Bivalvia, Ostreida, Ostreidae.